This 3173-nucleotide ribosomal RNA is filed under the name Ctenocephalides felis (cat flea). Its description in RNAcentral is "eukaryotic LSU rRNA". The stretch from base 1664 to 3173 matches the Rfam family "Eukaryotic large subunit ribosomal RNA", at positions 1890 to 3363 of the family's 3401-position model. Lineage: Eukaryota; Metazoa; Arthropoda; Insecta; Siphonaptera; Pulicidae. The record is from RNAcentral.
GUUAAGAUCGAUGAGAGACAGAAAGCCUUUCAAGCUGUCGACGGGUGCGCAUAUAACAUCUUUGCGCUUGACCAGUUGCUAAGGUACCACAGGCAAAAUAAGAAACCACUCUAUUUAGCCUCUAUAGACGUGGCAAAGGCAUUUGAUUUGAUCUCCCAUAGAGCUCUGACCGAUACAUUGGAAUAUUAUAACCUGCCACAACCAUUUAUCAACUAUGUUAGUGAUCUGUAUAGAAGGGGUUGGACCAGACUCCGGUUUGGCCGCUUCACCUCGGAUCCCAUUAGUCCGAGGUGCGCGGUCAAGCAGGGAGAUCCUCUGUCUCCGGUCCUCUUUAACAUGAUCAUGAACAAGAUGAUUAAAAGAACCCCACCAGAAAUCGGGGUCAAUGUUGACGGAUGCUUCUACAAUAUUCUUGCCUUUGCCGACGACCUAGUCUUGGUAGCAUCGUCGGUCGGAGGUUUGCAGAAGUUAUUAGAUCAUGCCGGUCAAUACAUGUCUAACUGCGGCUUAAUUAUAAACAAUAACAAGUCAUUUACAGUUACGGUCAAGAACGUGCCGCACGUCAAAAAGUCGAUAAUAGAUAGAACAACUACAUUUAGCUGCAACGGUCAAACACUACCCGCACUCACAAGAGUGGAUAGCUGGAGCUACCUCGGUGUCCAGUUCAAUCCCGAAAGUGCAAACCUAGGGAACAUGAGAUUAAAAUUACUAACAAUCAUUGACAAAUUAACUAAGGCACCGUUAAAACCUCAACAAAGACUUUUUGCACUACGAACUGUAGGCAUACCCAGAAUACUCCACCAACUAGUAUUGGGUCAUGCAAAAAUCGGGUACCUCAAAACGCUGGACGGAAUGAUAAGAAAAGCCAUAAGAUCAUGGCUAAGACUACCCAAUGACGUAACAUUAGCGUACUUUUAUGCCCACUGUAGAGAGGGCGGUUUAUCAAUUCCAUCCCUUAGGUGGCUCGUACCCUUAGACGCCAAAAAGAAUCCAGAACUUGAACUCUACCGACUCAAGCUUCCACAAGCUCGAGAUCGCAAAAUGUGAGAAAAUGCUACAUGACAACAACACCGUCAUAAGCUCUCAAAAAGAAUUGGAUGAGAAAUGGGCCCGCACACUUCAUAAGUCAGUGGACGGAAACCCACUUAAACACUCAGCCAAAACACCAUCCCAACAUCGAUGGAUUACAGAGGGCAACAAACUUCUCACUGGCAGCGACUUUGUAAACUGUGUAAAAUUCAGAAUAAACGCGAUGCCCACAAGGUCACGUACAACGAGAGGAAGAAUGGAGGACAGAUACUGCAGGGCAGAUUGUAAUGCCUUGGAGACACUGGAUCAUGUACUCCAAACUUGUCACAGAAUCCAUCGCCAACGCAUUGAACGCCACAAUGCAGUAACCAACUAUGUAAAGAGGGCACUAGAGAAAUCUCAUUCACAAGUUGAUCUUGAGCCAUCCUUUAAAACAACCGAAGGAACUAGGAAGCCUGACCUAAUAGCGGCACAGGACGGGAAGGUCAUAGUAUUAGACACCCAAAUAGUAGGAAGCUCUGCCGACUUGGCAGCUUCACAUAAGAGGAAGAUAGAUUAUUACAAGCCGCUGGUAGACAUGAUAAGGACAAGGUAUAAUGCAACUGAGGUAAACUUCAACACGAUAACUCUUAAUAUAAGGGGUGUUUGGUAUGGAAAAUCGGCGGAGUUCCUAACAUCAAAUAAAAUACUUGGGAAGGACGAACUCAAAAUUGUUUCAACCAGGACUGAAUGGGUUCGCAAAAUGGUCAAAAACAACGACAGUUAAGAAGAAAAGACAGGGAAUUGGAUGACCAAGUAUAUUAAUGCGUGCUGCCUGCGCCACCAUCCUCCAGGCACAAAACUAGGAGUUAGGUUAGUGGGUAUUGCCUUCGGGUCGAGUCCCACACUGCCUGGUCAACCUGGCGACCGGCGUGCGUAAAUGCAUUCCCCUCCUAGCCAAAAAAAAAAAAAAAAAAAAAAAAAAAAAAAAAGCCAAAUGCCUCGUCAUUUAAAUAGUGAACGAGAUUCCCACUGUCCCUAUCUACUUUCUAGCGAAACCACUGCCAAGGGAACGGGCUUGGAAAAAUUAGCGGGGAAAGAAGACCCUGUUGAGCUUGACUCUAGUCUGGCAUUGUAAGGAGACAUGAAAGGUGUAGCAUAAGUGGGAGAUAGUAAUAUCGUCGGUGAAAUACCACUCCUUUCAUCGUUUCUUUACUCUCGAUUGGGCGGAAAGCGUGCGUCGAAAACUUGCGUUCCGACUGUCACGGUUUUCUAGAGCCAAGCGCAUAAGAGUGGUGUGAGCCAUUGCACGAUCGCCAACAAUACUCUAGCGUGAUCCGAUUCAAGGAAACUGCUAGGCGGGGAGUUUGACUGGGGCGGUACAUCUGUCAAAUAAUAACGCAGGUGUCCCAAGGCCAGCUCAGCGAGGACAGAAACCUCGCGUAGAGCAAAAGGGCAAAUGCUGGCUUGAUCCCGUUGCUCAGUGUGCACAGGGACUGCGAAAGCAUGGCCUAUCGAUCUUUUUGGCUUGAAGAGUUUUCAGCAAGAGAUGUCAGAAAAGUUACCACAGGGAUAACUGGCUUGUGGCAGUCAAGCGUUCAUAGCGACGUUGCUUUUUGAUCUUUCGAUGUCGGCUCUUCCUAUCAUUGCGAAGCAGAAUUCGCCAAGCGUUUGGUUGUUCACCCACAAAUAGGAAACGUGAGCUGGGUUUAGACCGUCGUGAGACAGGUUAGUUUUACCCUACUGAUGAAUCGUCGUUGCGAUAGUAAUCCUGCUCAGUACGAGAGGAACCGCAGGUUCGGACAUUUGGUUCACGCACUCGGUCGAGCGGCCGGUGGCGCGAAGCUACCAUCCGUGGGAUUAUGUCUGAACGCCUCUAAGGCCGUAUCCUUUCUAGACAAAGUAAGCAACGAUAUCUCUAAGAGUCUCGUGAGUCAAAAGGCUCAAUACAAUGUGAUUUAUUAGGUAUUCGGCACACGCCGUUUAUCGCACGAGCCAUUUUUAGCCGAAUGGGGCGCUGGACAGGGGCGAUAUCCGUCCGUUAUAUCUGUCUUGCCUAUAGCGGUCGAUCAAGGUCACUAGUUCGAUGUAGAGACUGGGAAUCGUUUGUAAACGACUUAGGUACCUGGCGGGGUGUUGUACUCGGCAGAGCAGUUACCACGCUG